Molecule: ribosomal RNA, 3190 nt
Filed under: Durio zibethinus
Lineage: Eukaryota; Viridiplantae; Streptophyta; Magnoliopsida; Malvales; Malvaceae
Description: eukaryotic LSU rRNA
Rfam family: Eukaryotic large subunit ribosomal RNA
Source: RNAcentral
ACCUUAGGUCAAGCAAAAUUACCCAUAGAGUUUAAGCAUAUCAGUAAGUAGAGGAAAAAAAACUUACUAGGAUUCCCCUAGUAAUAACAAGUGAACCGAGAAUAGCCCAGCUCAAGAAUUGAGUGCCCUUAGCAUCUGACUUAUAGUUUGGAGAAGCAUCCUUAAUGGCAAACUAUACCCAAGUUCCAUGGUAAAGGACAUCAAAAAAUGUGAGAGCCUCAUUGUGCCUAGACUUUGUCACACCAUAAGGCACUAUUUGUGAGUCAGGUUGUUUGGGAAUGUAGCCCCAAUCGAGUGGUAAAUUUUGUCCAAGGCUGAAUAUGGGUUAAAGACCGAUAGCAAACAAGUAACAUAAGGAAAAAAUGAAAAGGACUUUGAAAAAAAAGUCAAUGAGUGCUUGAAAUGGUCAGGAAGAAAGCAAAUAAGGGCCAAUGAUGUGCCACAGUUGGAUGUGAAAUGGCAAGAACUAGUCCACUGCUCAACUCAAGUUGUGGACCGAUAUAGGUCAUAGUGGUGGCCUAACCCUAGGCUUUCACUAUGCCUAUAGAGACAUCAUCACCAUGGUCAUGGAAUGUAGCACAUGCCAUCUUGGUGUAACUCGAUGCUAGUGUGUUCCUAGUGUUGGCUUGCAUGCUCCUCAUCUGGCUUGUCUUGAAACACAGCUAGGGGGGUCUGACAUAUGUGCAAGCCAACAGGCUAAAAACUCUAGGGCAAAAAGAAGUUGAUUGGCAGAAUCCCUCAUCAGUGCAUUGCUAAUCAACCUUGAUCUUUUAAGAAGUGUGAGCAUGUUUGUCAGGACCUAAAAAAUGGUGAACUAUGCUUGAGUAGGCUGAAGCCAAAAAAAACUCUGGUUGAGGCCCAUAGUGAUAUUGACAUGCAAAUCAUUCAUCUAACUUAGGUAUAAGUAUGAAAGAAUAAUUGAACCAUUUAGUAGCUAGUUCUUUUUGAAGUUUCCCUCAAGAUAGCUAAAGCCUUUAGCGAGUUCUAUCAAGUAAAGCCAAUAAUUAAAGGCAUCAAGGGUGCAAUCCCUUCGACCUAUUCUCAAACUUUAAAUAGGUAGGAUGACAUAGCUGCUUCAUUAAGCUGCACCAUAGAAUUGAGAGCUCUGAGUGGGCUUUUUUUGGUAAGCAAAACUAGCAAUAUGGGAUGAACCAGAAGCUGAGUGACUUUGCCCAACUGCAUGCUAACCUAGAACCCACAAAAGGUGUUGGUCGAUUAAAAUAAUAAGAUAGUAGUCAUGGAAGUCAAAAUCCACUAAGGAAGGUGUAACAACUCACCUACUGAAUCAACUAGCCCCAAAAAUGGAUAGUGCUUAAAUGCAUGACCUAUACUUAAUUGUUGGGGCAAAGCCAACCCCGAUGAAUAGGAAGGUGUAAUAGUCACCAAAAAACCAGAGGUGUUAGCCUGGGCAGAGUAGCUAUCAAUGUCAAUCUUGGUGGAAGUAGAAAAUAUUUAAAUGAAAACUUUCAAGGCCAAAGAGGGGAAAGGUUCUAUGUGAACGGCACUUAAACUUGGGUUAGUUGAUCCUAAGAGAUGGGGGAAACUUAUCUGAUAACAUGUCCAACAUGAGUUUCAAAAAGAAACUAGGUUAAAAUUCUUAAACUGAGAUACGAUGGCUAACAGCAAUGUUAGGGAGUCCGAUGACAUCAAUAAGGGCCUUGAGAAGAGUUAGCCUUUUUAUUUAAUGGCCUGCCCACCUUGGAAAUAGCUCAUUAAAGGUAAGGUCCAACAACUGAAAGAGCACUGUAUGUCAUGUGGUGUCUAGUGCACCCUCGAUAACCCUUGAAAAUCUAGAGAACUGAGUGUCAUUGGUGCCUGGUCAUACUCAUAACUGUAUCGGUCUCCAAGGUGAAUAGCCUCUAGUUGAUAGAAUAGUGUAGGCAAGUGAUGUCAACAAAAUGGAUCCAUAACCUUAGUAAAAUGAUUGGCUCUAAAGGCUGGGCAUAGAGAUCCCAGUCCUAAACUCAUCCACUGUCGAUACACUAGUCAAGCUACUCCCAUGAUAAAAGUAGGUCACCACAUGCUUGCCUAGAGACAGACUAGGAACAACUCCCUUAAAGGCCUUUCUCAAGCGAUAACAGUCAACUCAGAACUGGUAUGGAAAAAGGGAAUCUAACUAUAUAAUUAAAACAAAACAUUGUGAUAGUCCCUAUUGAAGCUCAUGCAAUGUGAUUUUUGUUCAGUGCUCUAAAUGUCAAAGUGAAGAAAUUCAACCAAGCACAGGUAAAUGACGAGAGUAACUAUGACUCUCUUAAGGUAGCCAAAUGCCUUGUCAUCUAAUUAGUGACAUGCAUUAAUGGAUUAAUGAGAUUCCCACUAUCCUUGUCUACUAUCCAGUGAAACCAUAGCUAAGGAAAUGGGCUUGCUAGAAUCAGUAGGGAAAGAGGACCUUGUUGAGCUUGACUUUAGUCUAACUUUGUGAAAUGAUUUGAGAGGUGUAGGAUAAGUAGAAACUCCUAGGCAAAAUUGAAAUACCAUUACUUUAAACAUUUUUUUACUUAUUCCAUGAAUCGAAGGCAGAGCACAACUCCUUCUUUUAGACCUAAGGCUGACAUAUCUAUUAAAAGAUAAUAUAAGUGUCCUAAGAUGAGCUCAAUGAGAAUACAAAUCUUAUGUGGAACAAAAGGGUAAAAGCUCAUUUACUUUUGAUUUCCAAUACAAAUAUGAACAUUGAAAGCAUGGCCAAUUAAUCUUUUAAACCUUCAAAAUUUGAAAAUAGAGGUGUAAAAAAAGUUACCACAAGGAUAAUUGGCUUAUGGUAGCUAAACAUUCAUAGCGACAUUACUUUUUGAUCCUUCAAUGUCGGCUCUUCCUAUUGUACUGAAGUAGAAUUCACCAAGUGUAGGAUUGUUCACCCACCAAUAGGGAACAUAAGCUGCAUUUAGAUUAUCAUGAGAUAGGUUAGUUUUACCCUACCAAUGGCAAUAUCACAAUAGUAAUUGAACCUAGUACAAGAGUAACCAUCGAUUCACACAAUUGGUUAUCGCACUUGAUUGAAAAGUUUAUGGCACAAAGUUACUAUGCAUUGGAUUAUGAUUGAAGGCCUUUAAGUUAGAAUUUGAGCUAAAAGUGAUGCAUUGGCCUAUCACCUGAUUGUCUACCUAUAAUAAGGGCCCAUGGCCCUUCAAAGGCAUGUGUCAUAGGUAUGGCCCCCUUGGAGCUCAAUUCCCACAGAGUGGUAGGUAGAAUC